This is a long non-coding RNA of Phyllopteryx taeniolatus (common seadragon), 591 nucleotides long. RefSeq lists it as uncharacterized. Lineage: Eukaryota; Metazoa; Chordata; Actinopteri; Syngnathiformes; Syngnathidae. The record is from RefSeq and is a predicted model, not a curated record. The transcript is spliced from 3 exons.
AAUUUCGGUGGUUGGGGGGGGAGCCGUCACCACAGUCGGAUCCCGGGCCUUUCUUCCGAUUUCCCCCUUUUGUCCUCACCUCCAGAAAUGAUGAGAGCAGGGCACAAUCGGGGUGCCUGUACUGGGUCCCGUCAGCGGAAAUAUGCCAAGGCAAGUGCAUUGAUGGUUCCGGGUUUGCGAGCCGUGCCGUCGCGUCGCCUCUGCCCAAGCCAUAUAAAUACAUCAAACGCCGAUACAGGCUCGCUGUUCAGGGCGUCCAUAUGUACAAUCGCUACUUGGGAUGGACGUCACGUUCCAUCUGCGAAGCCUUCACUUCCCCGCGAUGCAGGAGCCAAUCAUGUUGAAGUGGGGCGGGUCUUGCCGAGAAAGGCCGUGGGAUUUCCAAGAAUGUCUGUGAAAUCCGGUUGUCCGUAACUGUAAUUUGUUUCGUCUUUUUGUAAAAGUGUUUCUGCUUUUGUUUUUGUGUUUCCUGCAAUGUUAGUGUUUCGUCUUCUGUUAAUUUGUUUUCUGAAAUAUUAAAGUGUUUCGUGUUUUUUUUUUUCCUGAAAUGUUAGUCUUUUGUGUUUUGUUUUUGUGGUCCCUGAAAUUUUA